Molecule: ribosomal RNA, 450 nt
Filed under: uncultured Glomeromycotina
Lineage: Eukaryota; Fungi; Glomeromycota
Description: SSU rRNA
Rfam family: Eukaryotic small subunit ribosomal RNA
Source: RNAcentral
AGCAGCCGCGGUAAUUCCAGCUCCAAUAGCGUAUAUUAAAGUUGUUGCAGUUAAAAAGCUCGUAGUUGAAUUUCGGGUUAGUAGGCUGGUCGUGCCACCGGUACGUACUGGUCUUACUGAUUCCUCCUUCCUGAUGAACUGUAAUGCCAUUAAUUUGGUGUUGCAGGGAAUCUGGACUGUUACUUUGAAAAAAUUAGAGUGUUUAAAGCAGGCUAACGCUUGAAUACAUUAGCAUGGAAUAAUGAAAUAGGACGUUCGAUCCUAUUUUGUUGGUUUCUAGGAUUGACGUAAUGAUUAAUAGGGAUAGUUGGGGGCAUUAGUAUUCAAUUGUCAGAGGUGAAAUUCUUGGAUUUAUUGAAGACUAACUACUGCGAAAGCAUUUGCCAAGGAUGUUUUCAUUAAUCAAGAACGAAAGUUAGGGAUCGAAGACGAUCAGAUACCGUCGUAGUC